Molecule: ribosomal RNA, 1002 nt
Filed under: uncultured Planctomycetota bacterium
Lineage: Bacteria; Pseudomonadati; Planctomycetota
Description: bacterial SSU rRNA
Rfam family: Bacterial small subunit ribosomal RNA
Source: RNAcentral
CAGCAGCCGCGGUAAUACGUACCGGACAAACGUUAUUCGGAAUUACUGGGCUUAAAGAGUACGUAGGCGGCCUGUUAGGUUGGGUGUGAAAUCCCACAGCUCAACUGUGGAACUGCGCUCAAAACCACAAGGCUUGAGGGAGACAGGGGUAUGCGGAACUGAUGGUGGAGCGGUGAAAUGCGUUGAUAUCAUCAGGAACACCGGUGGCGAAGGCGGCAUACUGGGUCUCUUCUGACGCUGAGGUACGAAAGCUAGGGUAGCGAACGGGAUUAGAUACCCCGGUAGUCCUAGCUGUAAACGAUGAGCACUUGGUCGAGGGGACCUCCACAUCCUCUCGGCCGUAGCGAAAGUGUUAAGUGCUCCGCCUGGGGAGUAUGGUCGCAAGGCUAAAACUCAAAGGAAUUGACGGGGGCUCACACAAGCGGUGGAGGAUGUGGCUUAAUUCGAGGCUACGCGAAGAACCUUAUCCUGGUCUUGACAUGUUUAGGAAUCUUUCUGAAAGGAAAGAGUGCCUUCGGGAGCCUUUACACAGGUGCUGCAUGGCUGUCGUCAGCUCGUGUCGUGAGAUGUCGGGUUAAGUCCCUUAACGAGCGAAACCCUUAUCCUUAGUUGCCAGCGAGUAAUGUCGGGGACUCUAGGGAGACUGCCGGUGUUAAACCGGAGGAAGGUGGGGAUGACGUCAAGUCCUCAUGGCCUUUAUGACCAGGGCUGCACACGUCCUACAAUGCACUAUACAAAGGGAAGCAACCUCGCGAGAGCAAGCAAAUCCCAGAAAGUAGUGUCCAGUUCGGAUUGCAGGCUGCAACUCGCCUGCAUGAAGCCGGAAUCGCUAGUAAUCGUGGGUCAGCAUACCACGGUGAAUGUGUUCCUGAGCCUUGUACACACCGCCCGUCAAGCCACGAAAGUGGGGUGCGCCCGAAGUCGCUGUCGUAACUGUUUACAGAGCAAAGCGCCGAAGGUGAACUCCCGCGAUUGGGACUAAGUCGUAACAAGGUAACCGUA